RNAcentral lists this ribosomal RNA (425 nucleotides) under uncultured bacterium. Its description in RNAcentral is "partial 16S ribosomal RNA". It matches the Rfam family "Bacterial small subunit ribosomal RNA", at positions 354 to 796 of the family's 1533-position model. The record is from RNAcentral.
GUGGGGAAUAUUGGACAAUGGGCGAAAGCCUGAUCCAGCAAUGCCGCGUGAGUGAUGAAGGCCUUAGGGUUGUAAAGCUCUUUUACCAGGGAUGAUAAUGACAGUACCUGGAGAAUAAGCUCCGGCUAACUCCGUGCCAGCAGCCGCGGUAAUACGGAGGGAGCUAGCGUUGUUCGGAAUUACUGGGCGUAAAGCGCGCGUAGGCGGCUCAGCAAGUCAGGGGUGAAAUCCCGGGGCUCAACCCCGGAACUGCCUUUGAAACUGCUAGGCUAGAAUCCUGGAGAGGCGAGUGGAAUUCCGAGUGUAGAGGUGAAAUUCGUAGAUAUUCGGAAGAACACCAGUGGCGAAGGCGACUCGCUGGACAGGUAUUGACGCUGAGGUGCGAAAGCGUGGGGAGCAAACAGGAUUAGAAACCCGAGUAGUCC